UCUUCCUAACAUCCAUGACGCUGUUGCCCAAAUUCUGUUUAGUGUUCUUAUCCUGACAUGAACAUAGACCCAUGGCCCUUCCUCUCUGAAUUUUUUUACCCUUGAGAUUUUCGAAUACUCUUCCAUGCUUUGCCAUACUUUGGUCUUUAUUUUUAAUGUCUUUGUUUAGUAAUUUUACACCAUAAUUAAAUUUUAUCUACCUACCUGUCCCCCCUUUCUUGCUACCAUCUGCAAGUAAGAUUAAUACUCUCUGCACAGAAUUCUUCAGUUCAGUUAUACAAUCUGGGAUCAAGAACUGACCUCUGCAGGUCCCAGCUCAACAGCUCUUCUUAGAAGUCAGCAAACUAUUAUUAUAAUUAUUCUGUGUUCACAAAUUCCAGAUUUCUGUAGCUACUUUGAAAGAUUUGAAUAUAAACCUCCUUCCUAUCAUUCCUUGUGAGACUAUCACAUGAAAAUGUAGAAGGUGUCUUGCAGAGUAGGUGUCUAUGCUCACAGUGCUUCCCCUGUCUGUAAAGUGUAAAUAAUUUGACACAAGCAUUGUGAGAUUAAGCACUCAUACCUGAAGUCAGUCUAAAAUUUAAUAAUUUUCCAUUGCAUUAAUAUAUACAUGCUUCACAUAUUAUAUAUUUAUUUAACUCAGGUUUAAUGGGACACUUGGAAAUCUAUAUUUAACAGGGAAACAGGAAUAUAGCAUAUUUAUUUCAGAGAAAAUUUAACUUUUGGGAUUCCUUGAUUACUGAGUACUUGAUUUUAAAAGCUGUAGCUUGCAUCUUUAUUAGUAUAAUUUGACUAUUAUUUUAAAAUAAAUAAUAGUGAUAGUUGCUUAGGAAUAUUUUAAAUAGGGUUCUUCAACUGUGCUAUGUACAAGCCUUUUACAUAGCUUAGGUGCAAGCCAGGUCCUUUUCUAAAUGUUACGGUUUUGCUACUGUUUUCUGUGAAACGGUUGCAUUGCUCAAAUUUAAAUGUACCUCCUGCUUCAACAGUUCAGCUUAUAAAUUUCUGUACCCCAUAGCUGGACAGUUGUCGUAUAAUAGGUUACAUCUAUCAUUAUUGGUCUGAUCAGUCAUUCCAUAUCCUAGUAGGCUCUCCCAUUGACUUGAGGAAUCAGAUCCAUAUCUGCUUUAGAUAUGAGAUUCAUGGACUGAUAGUUGAAAUUAGGGACCUGUAUUAUGUAGCUGAGUUGAGCCUCUCAAAAUAGCCAUAAGGAGUUCUUAUAUCCAUUUGGAAAAGUAACAUAGGUAGCUGAAUCCUUUGAGCUUCAACUUAUGAAUCUGUACAAGUAAAUACAUCAUGCCCUUUUUGGAUAUAAACUAACUACAAAGUUAUUUGAAUGAUCUCAUUUGUAUUAUAGUAAAUGAACAAAGGAUCACACUCAUCCUUACACUGUCAGUAUUUUUCUAAUGCAGAAGAGGCAUUUGUUAAUAGGGAAUAUGGAGCCUUUGACAUUUUGGAUCCCAAUCCUUCAGUGAAGCUAGUCAUGCACCUGCUUAUUUGUGCACAAAUCAUUCUAAUGAAUUCUAAAGGACUAUUCAUGUGCAUAAAGCUAAGCCUGUGUGUAAAAGCCUUUGCAAGACUGGGCCUAGGUUGUAAGUUUGAUAAUGACCUGAGACUGAUUCAACAGAAUAAAAACAGUCCUUUUAGAAAGUUGAGAAGUGUAACUCCAGCUCAGCUGAACAGGUAUGGGCAGUGCUAAAAGAAAAAAACUGAUCAAGAAAAAAUGGCAAGAGAUAUAAAUCUUUUUUAUUAUUAUUUAUAUUUUAUAAUACUGCAUUUUACCUUAAUCUUAUUAAUUCUUGGCUUCAGUUUAUUUUCAUUAUGGCUAUGAAUUCCAUUUGAAUAACUUUAUUUCAGGAGCUUAGAAACUUUCCUGGUUUAAUUUCAUGUAUAUAUAUAUAUAUAUAUAUAUAUAUAUAUGUAUAUAGCCUAUGUGGAAGCGUAGAUCCGCUUAGAGAAUGGUAGUUGAGAGAAAUCAUAACUAGGCUCAGGAAAGUUUUGCUUAAGGAGAAGUCACGACAUCAACACUGUUUCAAGAAGAAGUGUGCAGAAGAGCUUUGUGCGCUUAUUUGUUCAUAGCAUGCAAUAUUCUGCCUUCUGCUGCAAGUGUUUUGUGCUGCACUGCAGCACUGCAUGUUCUCAGAGACUGCACAUCACCUGCAGGAGCCUCUGAACAACAUCAGGGGAAUUUCAGUCAUUGUGAUGCGUCUCCUGAAACCAUUUGCUAGAUAUUGCUUCCAUCAGUUGCUUCCACCAGGAACUUCCAUAGAAUUUGGUAAAGACUUUUUAUGUGUUUAACAUUAAACAGACAGGCAGUGCUACUGAAAUCACCAUGAGAAAGAAAUGAAAUUACUUAAAUAUAAACUGAGUUCCUGCUUGGGCCUAUGGUGUUUGGCAUUUAAUAUGGCAGCCUAGAAGAUGGACAUUUGACAGGCCACAAUAGACUGCUCCUUUCCCAGAAAAACAUCAGUGGAACCCUCACUUUUAAGGAAAUCACAGUUAGAGGCUGGAAAAAAGUUAAAGGGAUACAGAAUUGCAGUCAGCUAUAAAUUUUCAACAUGACGCUUGACAUUCAAAUGGAAAUCUCAAACUGCUACUGAUAUUGGACAGGAAACAGAAAAGGAUUAGAAGAAGAAAUAGCAGGACAUUUUUUCACUAAAUCUGUUCUGGAUUAUAUUAUGCACUUGGGUCUUGUGGUAGUGAUAUGUUUGAUGCAAAUUGACACAAAAAUGAACUUUACUGAACAGAUACUGUAGUACUCUGAUUUUUGAUUGAUAUCUAUAUAUCUAUCUAAAUUCCAUAAUUUCACACAAUAUAUUUCUAUCAAGUGUGUUGCACAAUCAAUCUUAGAUAUUUUAAUUACAGUUUAUCUUAGCUAAGAAUUUCAAGAAGGGUUACUUCUUGCAGUCUCCCAUUUUUUCAUGUUAAUUUUGGGACUUCUUUAAAAUGGGAUUUAUUUUCAGAGGUGGAAGUACUUAGCUGGUUUCUGUAGGGCACAUAUUUCAAAGGUUUCUUCUUCUGGUGUUCAAGCACAGAGACAUUUAAAAUUUUCACUUGUUUUUGAAAAAUCUUGAUGAUACCACAUGCUCACAUU
Long non-coding RNA from Empidonax traillii (willow flycatcher), 3088 nucleotides. RefSeq lists it as uncharacterized. The record is from RefSeq and is a predicted model, not a curated record. The transcript is spliced from 4 exons. Lineage: Eukaryota; Metazoa; Chordata; Aves; Passeriformes; Tyrannidae.